CGACCGUUGUUCGGAAUCACUGGGCUUAAAGGGCGCGUAGGCGGCUUCCCAAGCCCGGGGUGAAAUCUUUCGGCUUAACCGGAAAAGGGCUUCGGGGACUGGGGGGCUAGAGGGAGGUAGGGGCAAGCGGAACUUCCGGUGGAGCGGUGAAAUGCGUUGAUAUCGGAAGGAACGCCGGCGGCGAAAGCGGCUUGCUGGACCUCAUCUGACGCUGAUGCGCGAAAGCUAGGGGAGCGAACGGG
RNAcentral lists this ribosomal RNA (242 nucleotides) under uncultured bacterium. RNAcentral describes it as "partial 16S ribosomal RNA". It matches the Rfam family "Bacterial small subunit ribosomal RNA", at positions 535 to 776 of the family's 1533-position model. The record is from RNAcentral.